This 164-nucleotide small nuclear RNA is filed under the name Salvator merianae (Argentine black and white tegu). Its description in RNAcentral is "U2 spliceosomal RNA (ENSSMRG00000010893.1)". The stretch from base 1 to 114 matches the Rfam family "U2 spliceosomal RNA". Rfam says of the family: U2 is a small nuclear RNA (snRNA) component of the spliceosome (involved in pre-mRNA splicing). Complementary binding between U2 snRNA (in an area lying towards the 5' end but 3' to hairpin I) and the branchpoint sequence (BPS) of the intron results the bulging out of an unpaired adenosine, on the BPS, which initiates a nucleophilic attack at the intronic 5' splice site, thus starting the first of two transesterification reactions that mediate splicing. Lineage: Eukaryota; Metazoa; Chordata; Lepidosauria; Squamata; Teiidae. The record is from RNAcentral.
CUCAAUUCUCAGCCCUUCGACUAAGAUCAAGUAUAAUAUCUGUUCUUAUCAGUUUAAUUUCUGAUAUGUCCUCUAUUCAAGGUCUUAAUUUAAUAUAAAUUGGUUCUAGGUUUUUAUAUUUAUUUUUUUAAAAAACAAAAACAAUGAGAGAGAGUCAAAAUGGG